GGGGCUGACUUGGAUUUCGACAGGAGUUAUAUCAUCUAGGUUGCAUGUCGGAUGGCAUUCCGUAAUCCUGCCACUUUAAAAUUAAACGCAAACAAUACAAAUUACGCUCCAGCUUACGCAAAAGUAGCGUAAGUUUAUCUUAGCUUUCGGAGCUAGCAAUAUGGAAAUGCCUACUACCCAUAGCGCUAUCAUCAAGUAGGCUAUGCUUUUUUUGCUGUCAAAAAGAAAAAGCUAAAUAAACGACUGCUUGCAUAAGAGGUUUUGAUUUUUGCACACUUAUGCAAAAAGACCAAGCAAAUCUCAAAAGCAUGUAUAAAUAUCUUGAUAGUUAUGAUUUUUGGACUGGGGUUCAAUUCCCCACAGCUCCACCA
RNAcentral lists this transfer-messenger RNA (371 nucleotides) under Helicobacteraceae. RNAcentral's name for it is "Helicobacter_H anseris Standard tmRNA". It matches the Rfam family "transfer-messenger RNA". From Rfam's summary of the family: Bacterial tmRNA, also known as 10Sa RNA or SsrA, is named for its dual tRNA and mRNA-like properties. Its role is to liberate the mRNA from a stalled ribosome. Lineage: Bacteria; Pseudomonadati; Campylobacterota; Epsilonproteobacteria; Campylobacterales. The record is from RNAcentral. RNAcentral also lists the same sequence under 1 other name.